RNAcentral lists this ribosomal RNA (837 nucleotides) under uncultured archaeon. RNAcentral describes it as "bacterial SSU rRNA". It matches the Rfam family "Archaeal small subunit ribosomal RNA", at positions 21 to 859 of the family's 1478-position model. The record is from RNAcentral.
GGUUACUGCUAUCGGUGUUCGCCUAAGCCAUGCGAGUCAUAUGUUCGUAAGAACAUGGCGUACUGCUCAGUAACACGUGGAUAACCUGCCCUUGGGUCCGGCAUAACCCCGGGAAACUGGGGAUAAUUCCGGAUAACGCACAUAUGCUGGAAUGCUUUUUGCGUAAAAUGGAUUCGUCUGCCCAAGGAUGGGUCUGCGGCCUAUCAGGUAGUAGUGGGUGUAAUGUACCUACUAGCCUACGACGGGUACGGGUUGUGAGAGCAAGAGCCCGGAGACGGAUUCUGAGACAUGAAUCCAGGCCCUACGGGGCGCAGCAGGCGCGAAAACUUUACAAUGCGGGAAACCGUGAUAAGGGGACACCGAGUGCCAGCAUCCUAUGCUGGCUGUCCGGGUGUGUAAAAUACACCUGUUAGCAAGGGCCGGGCAAGACCGGUGCCAGCCGCCGCGGUAACACCGGCGGCCCGAGUGGUGAUCGUGAUUAUUGGGUCUAAAGGGUCCGUAGCCGGUUUGGUCAGUCCUCCGGGAAAUCUGACAGCUCAACUGUUAGGCUAUCGGAGGAUACUGCCAGACUUGGAACCGGGAGAGGUAAGAGGUACUACAGGGGUAGGAGUGAAAUCUUGUAAUCCCUGUGGGACCACCUGUGGCGAAGGCGUCUUACCAGAACGGGUUCGACGGUGAGGGACGAAAGCUGGGGGCACGAACCGGAUUAGAUACCCGGGUAGUCCCAGCCGUAAACGAUGCUCGCUAGGUGUCAGGCAUGGCGCGACCGUGUCUGGUGCCGCAGGGAAGCCGUGAAGCGAGCCACCUGGGAAGUACGGCCGCAAGGCUGAAACUUAA